UAUUUAAAAUACCAAUUUCUGUGUAACAAAAAUUGAUCACAAAAUGAAUAAGUGCACACAGCUAGCUCUUUUGUUGUUGGUAUGCUGCAUUCUUACGCUGACAACAACUGUCGAGUGUGCCCAAACACAGGGCGAAAAUUUGGCAAGAAGACAUCGUUCUAGUCGCACCUGGAAUGGGCUAGUAAAACGUGAUCUCCGACGUCAAGAAGAACUGGAAACGCUUGAUGAUAUCGUCGACUUAUUUGAAUAGCAGAAACACAUUUUGUGCGUGGAAAUGGUUGUAAAUCGAAAUGGUUCUUAUAGAUCGGAUUCACUGUGCUGAUGCUGAAUAAACUAUUCCUACAAAAAAAAUUUGGGGGAAAUUUUAUUUCAAUAUCCAUUUUACAUAAAACAAACAUAUAACGUAGCAUGGAUAUUAGUUAUUUCAAAUGUAGUAUAUUCUUAACAAAAUAUAAAUAAACUCAUAUGAUAUAUUAUUUUAGUUGUUUACUGUCGUUUAUACUUGUUUUGAAUGUUUGUUUCAAAUUAUUGGAAAAACAGAUACAAUGUUUGUAUUAUAAAGUUCUGCUCUGACUAUAGACUACUAACUACAUUGUUUCCUUAAUAUUCUUUAACUUUGAAGUGUUGUAAAUUAUAAAAAUGUACACGACACAUCAGUACUCUGUGAUUUUGUAAAUAUU
Styela clava is the source of this 680-nucleotide long non-coding RNA. RefSeq lists it as uncharacterized. NCBI's taxonomy places the organism in Eukaryota, Metazoa, Chordata, Ascidiacea, Stolidobranchia, Styelidae. The record is from RefSeq and is a predicted model, not a curated record.